GGACGAGCUAUGAGUCUUGCCACCGGUCCAGCUGGGUUUCCUCUAUUGAUCUUUUUGGCCUUAGGGGUUAUCAUCUCCUUCAUACUAAAGAAAAAGGACAGGAAAGGAGGCGCUGCUGAGUGGGAGUGAUGGGACAACGUAAACAAUGAGACAAAAUACAUGCUCCUUGCGCGGUAUCUAAUUUGCUUAUUAAUAAACACAAAUUUAUGCACUCGUAUCCUUACAAAAUUAAUGACAAAUUAUCAUUCUUUAUUAUCUAUUAAAAAAUGUAAAAAGAUUGCACUAUUAACUCAAAAUUGAGAAAUAUAAGAUUUUACUGUUUUGCUCUUUCACCAUUUCAUACUGGGAUUUAAGGGUUCAUCUCAGCAGAACUUUAAGACCACUUAAGAGAUGAGCACAAGUAUAAGUGGAGAGCUGAAAAAGACUCUGAGAAUCUUUGUUAAUAUGGCCCCUGGUGCUAGGGUACACUGCCAGAAGCCUUAGAAGGUGCAGAACAUUUGGGCAACAUCAUAGGGCUUAAAAUAAAUUCAGUCCUAUACACAAAUACAAAACACCACCACACAACACAACCUAGGCCAUGCCCCACACCUGAGUUUUAUUUUCCAUACAGUAUGUGCAAUUCUUUGUUUACUCAUCUACGGUACACUACGUAUUUUCUUUUAAUAUAUUUUAAUUGAUGUGUUAUAUGGUACAGUACUAUACUCUUUUUAUUAUAUUUAUUAAUUUAUUAAUUUUGAGGCUAGAAAAUACUUAUUUCAUCACAUAUAUAAUUAAAAUCUAAAAAAAACUAUCAGCCGCAGAAACCCACAAUAUACUGAGGAGUCCUCAAUACAAAUUUACAUAUAUUAGCCAGGAAAAUCUGCGAUGUACUGAGGGUGUGAUGGGUGAACCACGAUAUCGCAAAGAAUUACUGCACAUACACACCCAGCAGGCAUGACUCACUCAACUCUUCCUUUCCCCCCCUACACAACUUACAAUACCAUCUCACAUAAGGAGCAUAAUUCAAAGCCAUGCACCUGAGGACCCCUCAGCCCCAUGGUACCACUGUACCAUGUUGACCCCCAAGUGGCACCACUUUAAAAGGAGUGUGUGUCCACUACUGCAGUACAGUGACCACUCAGCUCCCUUCCCGUGGGGCGUGGGGCAACGAAAUAUCAUAGAAAAUCUCAAAAAAUCAUGAAAAAUGAAAAAUAUACCAACCACUAGCUCAGUUAUAUGGCAACACUGUGUUAAUUUCAUUUGAGUAUCUCAAUUAUAAGUGUUUACACGCCCAUUCCCCCAUAAAAGGUGAAUUUACUCUCUCAGACCGGAGGCAGUGGUAUUUUUUGGAAAAAAUUCGAGAGAAAUCCAUGAAAAAUCAAACAAGUGAAAAUUACUUGCUCACUCAUAUGGUAACACAUCAGUGGUUCCUCUGGGACACCAGAUACCGGCGUCUUCCAGUAUUGCAAAUAUGGAUACGAAAGUAUCCUUUGGAUACUUUUUGAUGUUACUGGUACGUUUUUACGACGAUGAGCAAAAGGAUACAAAAUUUUAUGAAUGGCCAAAAAUGGAUACAUUUUGCUACUUUUUAUAGAGAAUUGGAUACUUUUCAAUAUCCACUUUAUUAUUUAUUAUUUUUUGGCAAAAUGUGGUUAGUUAAUUUACUCUUAUUUUCUAGUAAUAUAUUAACUACUUCGUAAGUGUGGACAACGGGGAGUUAAAUCAGUAAACACGUCAUGGGCUUGUUGACUCAUUCUGUUCACGUUCGAGAGUUGGGACCCGAACGUCCAGCUCCAGCCUAAGUGCUAAACUCAGUGUCUGACUGACUCUGUUUCUGAGGAAGUUAAUUACACUGCUUGUGUCAGACAAAUGGAAUGUCUCUCUUACGCUGGCUUCAGAAAGGGAGGAAGGAUGAUGGUGAAAAUAGGCGCACGGACAAACCCUCUGUCUCAGACUCUGAUAAUCCUGAAGCUGAUCCAGAUGACCCACUGGCACAACCACCAUCCUCUAUUGAAAUGAGCGAUGUAGGUGAAGAAGCUCCAUCAUCCACUCCUGGGUCUAGUGGUAUUUCUGGUUAGUUAAUUUACCCUUAUUUUCCAGUAAUUCUUUAAAACAAUUAAUUGUCUGAAACAAGCAAAAUUAAGAAAUUUUGAACUUUCGUCUAUUACAGAAACCCAUCCGAUAACGUGAGAAAUAGGUUCUGGGGGAGCUGUAGAUGAAGAGGUACUAUACUGUACAUGCUUAACACUCAGUCACUCAGUCACAGGUAGGACUGAAGAAGGCGCUGUUGAGUUCGAGGAAUCUGUCAGAGAGGUUGAAGCUGAUACUCCUCUAAUUGAGGAUUCGGAUGAAUCAGAAACAGAUGACAGUCAGCCACCAGCUACUGAGAAGUCAACCUCUCGUAAGCGUGUGUCAAACCCUAGUUCAUCCAAGAAGUCAAUACCUCCGGAAAAGAGGACAAGGAAAUAUGCUAUGAAGUGGUCGGUCAGAAGAUCCUAAGUUUGCAUGUUUCUCCAGGUAUGAAGGAGAUAGAGAAGAAAUGAAAGGAAAAGCAUUUUGUAAUAUUUGCGCUAAAUUAAUUGAAGGGACAGUUUCUCAUAUGCAUAGGCAUCUGAAAACUAAAUAUCAUACAAACAGAGCAAAGUCUGUGAAAUCCCCUUCUGUAUCAUCUCUAUUUGAAAAGAAAAAUCUACCUGCAAGGGAUGCAGAAAAACUUAGACUAAUGUUACUCAAAUUUCUUUGUGAACACAAUAUUUCUUUUAAUGUCAUGGACCAUCUAUUGAAAGUUUUGAAACAUGGAACCACUGAUUCUCAAAUUAUAAAAUCUGUAAGGUGUGGAGUGGAAGACAAACUUCACGAGAAAUAGUAGUGAAAUGUAUAGGCAAUGAAAGCUUGAAGGAAAUUGUAGCAUGCUUAAAGACACACAAAUAUUCCAUAAUUGUAGAUGAGAGCACUGAUGUAUCCACUACAAAGCAGUUAGCCAUUGUUGUCAGAGUAGUGAACACUCAGCAGUGUACAGUUGAAGACAAAUUUUUACAAUUGCUAGAUGUAGAAGAUUCCAGUGCUGAAGGACUGUUUCACCUAUUGAGUACUUUUUUUUGAUGAAAAUGGCAUUCCAUUUGAAAAUAUGCUUGGAUUUGCUGUUGACAAUGCGUCAGUCAUGAUGGGGAGUAUGGGUGGUUUAAAAGGCAAAAUUGCUGGAUAGAGUCCCUCAUUUGUUUGUCAUUGGAUGUAUUUGCCAUUCAUUAAAUCUCUGUUCCUCUGCAGCCUGUCUUAAGCUUCCAAGUUCUGUAGAAACAUUGUGUAAAGAUAUACAUAACUUCAUUAAUCCCAGCCCUAAGAGACUGUUGAAGUUUAAGGAAUUUCAACAAUUUGUUAGAGUUGAUGUACACAGAGUUCUAAAUACUAGUCAAACAAGAUGGCUUUCCCUAGAAUCAGUUGUUAACAGAACACUAGAACAAUGGUCAGCACUAAUUCUUUUCUUUCAGUCAGAAGCCUUGGAAUCUCAAGUAAAGUCUGCAGUGCAUAUACUGAAUGCCUUGAACAAUCCUCUGUUCAAAAUGUACUUUACUUUCCUUGGGUAUAUUCUGCCCAUUAUCAAUAAGAUGAACAGAGAAUUUCAAAGUGAAUCAGUCAUGAUACACACUGCAUAUUCUAACAUCUGUGCCUUUUAUAGGACUAUUCUGAGCAAUUAUAUAAAGAAAGACAUACUAAAAUCGAAGUCAGAUCCAUUUGAAGUGGAAUUUAAAGACUGUUCCAAUUUCCUGCCUGAAAAUGAAUGGUACUUUGGCAGCAAAGUAGAGAGUAUGCUGGCAGAUAAAAAUGUGUUAGGGGAACUUGGAUCUGAAGCUUCCAGAUUUCAGGUGAGAUGUCUGGAUUUUUAUGUAGAGCUAUCAAAGCAAAUCAGUAAAAGAUUCAAAGGUUUGAGUGAUGUACUCCCGUUGUUAAAUGCCUGUGACCCUGCCAUAGCAAGAGAAAAUAGAGUUACAAGUCUAGUGCCACUGUUCAAAAAAUUUCCUCAACUGAUUAAAGAAUCAGAAUAUGAUGUUUGCAAUGAUGAAUGGCAGUCACUUACUUUUCAUGAAGAUGCUUUGAGUACAUCAAGUAACCCCACCGAGUUUUGGUGUUCAGUACUAAAACUUAAGACUAGUGAUGGAACACCUGUGUUUCCAAAUCUAGCUGAGUUAAUGGUAAAUUUGUUAGUUCUACCACAAUCAUCAGCUGCAGUGGAGAGAAUUUUUUCACAAGUAAAAUUAAUAAAGAUAGACCUAAGAAAUAGACUGAACACAGAGUCAAUAAAUGCACUUAUGUUAAGUAAAGGUAACGGGGGAGCAGUUCCAAUGGGAGCCAAAUUCCUUGAUGAUAAGAUCUGCUCAAAAUGUGUUCAGUGAGGCUAAGCAAAGCAUAUAGGUAGCUUCAUUGGCAGAAAAAGAGUCUGCGUUUGUAGUUUUAUUAUUAUUAUUUUUUUUUUUUUUAAUUAAGGUUAUCAGAUAUUCAUAUUUUGUACUUUGUAGUAUUAAUGUAGCCUAAGUUAGAAAAUAAGUUGUCGAGGCUAUCCAAAUACAGCCUGCCAUUGAAGGUAUUAACAAAUCUGUGUGCAAUUAGAGACGUCGCAGUGAGCGUUUUGAUACCAGAUAGCGCCAGAAUUUUUAAUUCUCGCCGGAAAAUAAAUACUUUUUGGGGCAAGGUUUUACAAGCUUACAAAGGUGUAUCGUUGCACAGUAAUGCGUCUGAAUUUUAAGUCAAUUAAUUUCGUGAUAACUGACAGCACAUGACAUUGUUUGAGCCUCUAUUCAUAAUUUCAGAUGAUAUUCUUAAAAGAGCCUUUAAGUGUAUCAAGGCAGGCAAUCUGUAAUUUUCUACUGACCUCAAUGGAAGUAUACUAAUAUAUACUUGCAUUUUCAUGUACUAAACAACAGGCAAAUCCAUUUAAUGUAAAGAAAAUAUAAUUUUGUAUCAGAGACUUUAUUUUUGUGGUACGAUCACUAUCCUCGGGUACUUGGGCAGCGAGCAAACCAAAACACAGGACCACGCUUACUGGACUACCCUGCACAAUGGAUACAUCACCGCCACAAUCAUGGACUACUGCGGAAUUAAGAAAAUUCCUGAAAGAACGAGCUAUACCCUAUCCUGGAUAUAGUAAAGCAAAGUAAAGGCCUUUGUAUCGACAGAACUGAGAGGCUAUUGUUUACACUUUACAUUCCUUCUUAACGGCGUGCGGCGCUUUCUUUAACUGAAGAAUCAUGAUCAAGAUAAGUACGUCGUACGUCCGCCAGCGGUGUUGUUCUUUUUUUAUUUCACUGAUUACUUUCAUAUACAGGACGUGUCAGUGAUAUCUGAUAUUUUUCAACAUUCCCAGAUAAAAUGCACAAGCCGAAGUCAACAUCCUUUUAUUUUUACUGUUUAUACUUACUAAAAAAAAAAAAAAAUCAUUACCUAUUUUUAGUUUUAUCUUAUAAUUCAAUUAACAAAGCCUUAUCAUACACCAGUAAGUAUGAAUAUUAAUAUUAAGGGUUAUGUUUUUAAUUUUAGAUACACUUGUGCAGCAAUUCAUGCUGUACUUUUCCUGCACAUCGAUUUCAAAUUUAGCUAAGACACCCCUUUGCCCUAGGAAAUCGGAGGCAAUUAAAAAUGCUGGCCCUGAUAGGUAUCUACCAGCCUCACUGCGACGUCUCUAAUUGUAGUAGCCUACUGGCAUCAUUUAUUUAUUUAUUUUCUAAUAAAAGUGCACUUAUACAUAAAUAUAAUGUUUUGGAAGACCCAAUCAAAGGGUUUAUAUUAAUGCUCCAAAUGUGUAGUGAACAUUUCUCCACCACUAGGCAGCAGUAAGCAGCUUGGCUGCCAACCGUAUGAUGUCUAUUACACCAUGGUAAGAAAUAAUUUAUUUGUAAUCAUAGUUUUCAUGAACUAUAGGGCAUAUCGUAAAGAAAACCAUAUGGAGUUCGCAGGCUGCAUCACGUCACCGCAUGCCACCCCCUUGCCCAGCUGCUCACCACGUGGUCCCUCACCCGAGAAGACAAGCGCAGAGAAAAGGAAGAAGUUUGCACACAUUGAAAGUAAGGAUCCUGCAGACACAACGUAUAUAUACGUCAAGAAAAACCGACUGCAGGAACUGGCUGGGAAUAUUGUGUGUAGUGUGUGUUUUACGGACACUAUUGUAUGUGUUUUUACUGCUUGAUACAGAUGUAAAAAUGCAUUGUACGAACUGUGCAACUGUUGCUAUGGACACAAAGGGUGGUGUUUUGGACAUUGACGUGACUUAUGCUGGCACCUGGCACACACGUGGACAAAAGUCAUUGCUGGGUGCAGGUGCCGUCAUUGAUGCCAACACCGGUCACGUACUAGAUUAUGAAACAAUGUCUAAGUAUUGUGAAUUGUGUUCAUAUAAAAAGAAAACCCUAAGCAAAGAGAAAUAUGAAGAGUGGUAUGCAGGACACGUCAGCGAGUGCCACAUCAAUUAUGAAGGCUCCUCAGGUGGGAUGGAAGCUGCUGCUGCAGUAAUUCUGUGGGGGCGCUCGCUCUCACACAACAUGAGGUACACCACAUUCAUCUCUGAUGGUGACAGCAGUGCAUUCCUGGCAGUGAACAAAAUGCACAACAAUGUUGGACCAUAUGGAAAAGAUCAUCCAGUAACCAAAGAGGAAUAAAUAAACCAUGUUUCCAAGUGCCUCGGGACUGCCCUCCGGAAGUUGUGCAAGAUGACAGCAACUGAAAUUCUUCCAGAUGAGAGUAAAAGAAGAAAGAGGAGUUUGGGAGGCAGAAACAGACUGACAGACAACGUUAUCACACGUCUGCAGUAUUAUUUUGGAAUGGCUGUGAGGCGGAAGAACACCACAGUGCAAGAGAUGAGGGAUGGCAUCAUGUCAUCAUUCUAUCAUUGCUCAUCAACCGAUGACAAGCCAACACAUCAAUUGUGCCCAGCCACAAAGGACUCCUGGUGCUUUUACAACAAUGCAAUAGCAAAUAAUGAAGAACCGAAGAGCCACAAGAACAUGAAGAUUAGAUUCGAGCUUGAUGAGGAUGAGCUGGCGCAAGUGAAGGCUAUCUAUGAUCGGUUGACAGAUGAUGGGAUGAUGAUAAAAUGUUUGCGUGGCAAAACACAGAAUCCAAAUGAGUCCCUCCACUCACGCAUAUGGAGACUUUGCCCCAAACAUAAGAAUGCCAAUAAACCCAUGCUAAACUUCGCAAUUGCACAAGCAACUGCAAAUUACAAUUGUGAUUAUGAGGCAAGUUGCCUGGAUUCACUUCUUGGAGUAGAACACACCACAUUGAUGAGCAAAUACUUGAAGAAUCAAGAUGCUAAGAUGAAUGUGAAACCAUGAUUGAGGAUGAGAAGAAACUCCAGAAAGAUCUCGUGUACGCUGCAGGCGGGUUCUGACGCGUCUUCAGGGGCGUUUUUCUCGAAACAUAAGUGUUUGCCACUUACUGUGCUUUAAUUUCUAUCCAUUUUUUUUUAUUUAUCAUCCGAUUUUCUUAAUUUUUGUCUUGUUUUCUUUGUCUUGAAUUGCUUUAUAAAAGUAUGUUAGUAUUUUUUUAUUACUUUUUUUUUUAAUUUAGUAUUAAUUUUAUUAACAACUUGCAACUGACAAAAAAAAAACUGACCGCAUAUUCACUGUGGGUUAAAAGGGUUACAUAUGCAAAAAUUUUAAAAAGUGGAUAGUAAAUGAUGUAGACAAUUUAAUAGACUAUAAAUUCCUAGUUUUAAAAUUAUCCUAUCUCUUAAACUGUUUGAGCCUAUUUAAUUAAGAUGAUGACAUGUUAUUUCUGGGGUUUUUAAUUUUUUUCUUUUUUAUUUUCAGAUAUCGAGCUGAAACUGCGGCAUAAUCAUAUCAAUAUUAAGAUUUACAUAUAAUAAAAUUUUCAUGUUAAUACAACUAUUUUUUCCUACCCCCCCCCAAAUCCACUUCCCUGCCCCUUAACAGAUUACUUACUAUAAAGUUAUCAACACUAAAUAACCCAUAGAGCUGGCAACUACAGGGCAAUGCAAUAUGGCAUUAUUGUACUUGGCACCAAUACAGAAAGGAAUGCUAAGGUAACUGCCCCCAUACAAAAUCAUACCACUACUGUAUCUACACAAUUAUACAAGUUGACAUUCCUUUUGGAGAAGAUGAGACAAGACAAGCUUUGUCACAUCUCUGGUAAUAAAAAGUUGGAGCAAGGGGCCACAGUCCUCAUGUUCCAUCCCUUUUAGUCAACUUUUAUGACAUGCAUGGAAGAGUGGCACCAUUCUCCAGCUAUGGAGUGAGGCUUGGCUGUGUCCCUGUGCUACACAAGGUAUCACCAAAUACAAAGGUAGAAAAAAAUGUCUGCAGAAAAUAGCUAUUAACAAGGUUAUGAGAUUGCACAUAAGUAAAUGCAUCGUCUUUUAUAUUGCAAACUUGACACACUUUUAAUAUUGCACUAGUCAUGAUAUUCAGAAAAUGAUCACUGCUGUCAGGAACACAUUACAGCUUUCAAUCAACCAUUAACAAGACUUGGUGCAACAAAUUCUACACCAAAUCUUGUCUUUUCUCUCUGCAGCCAGGUGGAGAACUGCCAUCACCACUUUCCUCAGUCUGCUUCACUACGUAUCACAAAAAUAAACACACAUUCUCUGAUUCAAGAUUAUCUUACAAUAUGUAUAAUAAAUUCUAUAUACUGCCAAUAUUCCAGAAAACACAAUGGUAUCAUACAACAAAUAUUUUUUAGAUAAUUCAAUAAAAGAUAUUUAUAUCUGUUUUCUAAACUGACCAACAUGAUGGUAGUUACAUGCUGCACCUCAGGAAAAUGAUGAAUUUAUAAAUCCACUAAAUGUCAGGCCUGUAAACCAACAACCCUCCAUUAUACUCAAUGCUUGUGGACAUGACUUUAAAAAGACUUAAAAAAUGAUCAUUCAACAAAUAAUUCAGUAAUAACUAAAAUAUCUCACAAACAUAAGUUAACCAGUACCUUCAUUCUUCCCUUUCUAGUAAACUCUGGAACUUUUUACCCAUUUCUCUUUUUCCCUUUUCCAACGACAUAAGCUGUUUAGGGAGAGGAGUAUCAAGACACCUCAAGAAUACAGAUGUCUCUUCAAUCCUACUUUUUAUGGGACCACAGUUGAGUGAUUUUUUUUUACUAAGAUCUAUCUUGUUAUAUAUCAGGUUGGCAAUCCCACACAGGGUGGCUCACAUACACAGAGGGUGGAAUCAAAAGCUUUUCGUCUCAUCAACUCCUCUCCUCUAACUGACUGUCUUCAGCCUCUCUCUCACCGCCGUAAUGUUGCAUAUCUAGCUGUCUUCUACUGCUAUUUUCAUGCUAACUGCUCUUCUGAUCUUGCUAACUGCAUGCCUCCCGUCCUUCUGUGGCCUUGCUGCACAAGACUUUCUUCUUUCUCUCACCCCUAUUCUGUCCACCUUUCUAACGCAAGAGUUAACCAGUAUUCUCAAUCAUUCAUCCCUGCCUGCUUCUGUAUUUCCACCUUCCUAUGACUUGAAUUCCUUCAAGAGGGAGGUUUCAAGACACUUACUCAUCAAUUUUUGACCACUGCUUUGACCCUUUUAUGGGACUGGCAUUUCAGUGGGCAUAUUUUUUUAUUGGAUUUUUGUUGCCCUUGGCCAGUGUCCUUCCUACACACACACACACACACCAAAAAAAAAAAAAAAAAAAAAAAAAAAAACACACUCUUUAUUAAAAUAAAAGAAUAGAAAU
Molecule: long non-coding RNA, 9648 nt
Organism: Scylla paramamosain (green mud crab)
Lineage: Eukaryota; Metazoa; Arthropoda; Malacostraca; Decapoda; Portunidae
Exons: 2
Source: RefSeq, a predicted model, not a curated record